GCAGCCGCGGUAAUUCCAGCUCCAAUAGCGUAUACUAAAGUUGUUGCGGUUAAAAAGCUCGUAGUUGGAUCUUGGAAUGUGUUCAAGCGGGUCAGCUUCUGGCUGUGCGCUGCUUGACGUGUUCUUCUAUUUGGUUUUGGUGCGGUGCGCUUAACUGCGUGUCGCUCCCGGCCGAAACGUUUACCUUGAAAAAAUUAGAGUGUUCAAAGCAGACCUGUUUGAGUCUGAAUAUUCGUGCAUGGAAUAAUGAAAUAUGAAUUCGGUUCUAUUUUGUUGGUUUUCGGAACUCGAGUUAAUGAUCAAGAGGGACAGACGGGGGCAUUCGUACUCUGCCGUUAGAGGUGAAAUUCUUGGAUCGGCGGAAGACGCGCAACUGCGAAAGCAUUUGCCAAGAAUGUUUUCUUUAAUCAAGAACGAUAGUCGGAGGUUCGAAGACGAUCAGAUACCGUCCUAGUUUCGACUGUAAACUAUGCCAGCUAACGAUCAGACAGAGUUCUCUACGACUUGUCUGGCAGUUUCCGGGAAACCAAAGCGUUUGGGUUCCGGGGGAAGUAUGGUUGCAAAGCUGAAACUUAAAGGAAUUGACGGAAGGGCACCACCAGGAGUGGAGCCUGCGGCUUAAUUUGACUCAACACGGGGAAACUCACCCGGCCCGGACACAGUGAGGAUUGACAGAUUGAGAGUUCUUUCUUGAUUCUGUGGGUGGUGGUGCAUGGCCGUUCUUAGUUGGUGGAGCGAUUUGUCUGGUUAAUUCCGAUAACGAACGAGACUCUGGCAUGUUAAAUAGUCGCGGAAGUGCGUAUGCACUUGCCGAAUUGACUUCUUAGAGGGACUAGUGAUUUUAAUUCACACGAGAUUGAGCAAUAACAGGUCUGUGAUG
Molecule: ribosomal RNA, 880 nt
Filed under: uncultured eukaryote
Lineage: Eukaryota
Description: SSU rRNA
Rfam family: Eukaryotic small subunit ribosomal RNA
Source: RNAcentral